UGGAAUGGAUGAUGUCAUGGCGGCGCUCAUGUCAGCAGUGUUCCUCUUCGUUUCUUUUCUACGGAGAGGAAUCCGUCUUUGAUUAUGUCACGUCUCUUCUUCACUAAAGCUUUUUUUUUUUUACACACAAAUCUGUGCACAAAUCUAUUCAUUUCAAUAAAAAGUUAUUGAAAUGAGUUUUGAUUUGUGUGAAAGAAACGCAAUUACCUGUACUGAUCUCACCCCGGUUUCAUGUACAACGCCCCAUUUAAAAGACACAGGCGAGUUCAUAACCCCUUAAUAAAAUUUAAAAAGGCAACAAAAAAAAAAGAAAUGGCACAGGCGUGUACUCGACAGUCAUCGAGGUGCCAGGAGUAAUAUAUUGCCGGGCAUCUGGACAUCUCUCAGAAGGGGCUGAAGGUAUAAUAACCUCUUACUGCUUCUCACUUCAAAGCUGUCCACCGGCUAAGCUUUGGGCUUCUCAUCUCAUAUAUAGCCUCCCGAGUGCUCGCUGUGCAGACUCCCCCCCUCCCCUUCCACCCGUGAGGGACCAUAUAACUCGCGCGAGCCUCUCGUGUCACUUUAGUGAGAAAACGAGCGAAGGAAACAAACAAGAGGAGAAAGGAUUGUCUGCCCGUAACGGUUCCGACGCCGCGUUGGGUUUCGUUUGCCGCUGCGACGUGGUGAAAUCUGACUGCGAAGCCAGGAAACGUACACACGGAGAAAGACGGCAUUUGGAGAUUCAUAUGCAGUCAUUCAUACAGCGUACAGUCUGCUGAGUGCCAAGCUGGAUUAUCAGCAUUGAAACAGAGCUUCUUCUUUCUUUUUCUUCUUUUUGUCUUAAGCCGCACAAUGGGGCGCCAAAUCCAUUUGUAAAAUUAGAGUCCGAACCGCCGCCACUCAGGCGGAAAAAAACUCAAUUCGCCAAUUCAGACGCCUCCAACAUGAUCGUAUGUGAAGUGCUUACGACUGCAACGACUUGCAUUUUGUUAGAAAAAUGCCUCGCUUGGUGUUUUUUCUUCUUUUCUCUUUUCCACGGGUUGAGAGUCAGAUUUCAUCGUCUCAGGCUCUCGCCUGCUCCAGGCCCGGCCGCCGCAUUCUGGGAAGAACCACCUAAUUAGAUCAUAUAUAAAAAUAUAUAUAUCUCAUAAGCUUUUUAUAUUUUGUGUGUUUUGUUUCGAUCAGACAAAAGUGACACCGGGCCAUUGUGAGCCGCUGUUUUCAUAACCGUUUUAUAGCCUCCGUUGCUCUUUUUUUUCUUCCAGGAACUUGUCUUUUACCCUUCACAGAGCUGAUUAAAUAAUGCCCCGGCUGAUUCUAUAAACCACGGGCGGAACCAGACCUUGAGAACUCGCAGACGUGCGGAUGUUAUUUUUCCGACGGCUGAAAAUCAAAUGUGAUGUUGGUCGCGAUGCAAUUGUGGCUGUGAAAGAGAGGAAUGAUGUGUUUUGCGGUAAAGGGGGGGUUCCCGAAUCGAUCAGAGUCUGCUUUGAGGCAGCUUAAAGCCACAGUGUGUAAUAUUUAGAAGAACUUAAUCACAGAAAUUGAAUAUAUUGUCCAUAACUUUGUGUUCAUAUAUGCAUAAAACACCUGCAACGAAGAACCAAUGUUUGCUCGUCAACUCUGAGUUAAAUAAUAAUAAUAAUAAUAAUAAAUUUCAUUUAUAUCUCUUCAUUGCUAAAAGCAAUUUCAAAGUGCUAAUAUAUAUAUAGAAAAUACAGUAACAUGAGGUGGACCCGACCUCCAUGUUUCUACGUCGUGUUGAAUACGGUUGUUGUAACUAAACGGUUCCAGAAUACGUCGCGUUCACGUUGAAUUUUCAGACGCUGCCCGGAAACCGGAAAUGGAAUCGGCGGUGCGCCGCCAUGAAGUGUCCCCCGUCGGUCGCUCGGUUGGUUUGCGGUUUGCAACUUUACCACCAGAUUCCCGCCGGGAGAUAACGAAAAAUUACACACUGGGGCUUUGAGAAAGAAACCGUUGUCUUCUGAUCACAAACUACGUCAGGCGAACAUCCGACUCUCUACAUCCGAGGUCUGAACGUGGCCUGACACGUGCGGCGCUCUGCCACGAAACGUGCACGAUGAACGCCCCCUCUACGCAGAAGUACGCGUGUGUGUCGGCGAUUCAACAUAAUAACAAUUUCACACACAGUGCUCGCGGAAAAAUAAACGGACGUGGCAAAAACGAAAGGACGUGUUCGGAAGUUCUAGCUUGCCCGUGUCCCGUUGACGACCGGCGCGGCCGCUGGUCGCUGUGCAAGUCGGGAGCUCCGGCGACGGGCACGAGGAGACGCUGAAAUGUAAUCACAUUAUUUCA
This 2295-nucleotide long non-coding RNA is filed under the name Scophthalmus maximus (turbot). Its description in RNAcentral is "lncRNA (ENSSMAG00000035222.1)". Lineage: Eukaryota; Metazoa; Chordata; Actinopteri; Pleuronectiformes; Scophthalmidae. The record is from RNAcentral.